This 127-nucleotide small RNA is filed under the name Marmota monax (woodchuck). Lineage: Eukaryota; Metazoa; Chordata; Mammalia; Rodentia; Sciuridae. The record is from RNAcentral.
GCUGGGCGUCGUGGCUCAUGCCUGUAAUCCCAGCAGCUCGGGAGGCUGAGGCAGGAGGAUUGUGAGUUCAAAUCCAACCUCAGCAACUUACCAAGGCCCUAAGCAACUUAGUGAGACCCUGUCUCUA